Long non-coding RNA from Oncorhynchus tshawytscha (Chinook salmon), 2752 nucleotides. NCBI's taxonomy places the organism in Eukaryota, Metazoa, Chordata, Actinopteri, Salmoniformes, Salmonidae. The record is from Ensembl.
AACAGAUAACUCUUUAUUUUGCAUUGCAUUUUAUUUCUAAUGCAAGGGACAGGUUUUCAGUCAAUCCUCAAAAUGUACAGAAGCAAAAAUAAUUUUGAUUUCAACUUGAUACGUUGAUAUAAAAUCAAUAAUACAAGACCAUAAAGACGAAUGCUUGAUUAAGUCAAUGUUGAUGCACAUUGAAUGCUUCAUUGAUUUACCUAUUAAUUUUUUAGAUUGCCUCAUUCAUAACUUCUGCCCAGUAUUUCCAUACCACAGAUCUAACCCUCUCUCCCACUGCUUCAAGCAGCUUCUAGAUCGAUGGCAGGAAUUUUAAAAAUCCCAGGCUGGAGGAACAGAAUUCAAAUAAAUAAAAAACUAUUUCAAUGAGUGAUUAUAUGUAAUAUAGUUAGAUUGUGGUCUCGCAGAAAGUUUUCCUCACCUUUCCUCCUUGUACUCUACAAAUACCCUUCCUUUUAAUUUCCUAUGUAAUGAAACUGAGAUUUCUUCCUGUGUCGCCAAUGGGAGGCGACAGGAAGCCAUUUUAAUGUGUUUAUUUAGUUUUGUGGUAUCAUUCAAGGCAGCAGAGCUCUGAAUAGUACCAACAUGAACAUGACGCUGUGUCUGGGCCCGGAGAGGAGAAGGAUGACUGUUAAGACUUUACUCUAGAGAUACCUUGGAACAGAUUUCCUAAACGUUUGCACUGUGUGUACGUUUGCAGAAAAAAAAAACACGUCAAGAAAGAGAAAAUAAUUACCGAAACCUUUUUCACUUACACAUGAUCUCAAUGUCAUAUUCCUUAUAUUUUCUCCUUAUCUUACUAGGUGCCAACUAGACCGGGGGUCAGUCAGUUUGCCAGGCAUUGGCUGGUCUUGUUGUCAGUGUCCUGCCAAACUGCAGUAAACUGCUGUAAUAUGUGUGAGGCACUUACUCUGGUCAGGGUGCCUGUCAGAGUGCCAGUCUGUCUCAGAACUGACCACACGUGAUGUUCUAGCUAGCUGUCUGGCAUGCAGGGCAGACUGGCUGUUCACAUAGACUGAAGGCAAGAAAAUACUUCUUUCUCACCAUUUGAGGAAUUUUGAAAUGUUAACAUGCAGAGUGCUGCUGGGCAAUAGGCCAAUAGAGGGAGACAUGGUAUUAAUAUAGGAGGCUGGCUGAGGUGCAUGGGGGGUGACGGGGGGGGUGACGGGUGGAUGUGUGGGGCGGAUGACGCACAUAAGGAGUGAGGUACUGUGGUGGUUGGAUGAGGUGUGAGGCCGUUGGGUGAUACAUAGGGGUUGGGGUGAAAUAUGUGAGGGAUGGGUGAGCCAUGUGGGGGUUUGGGUGAGGCGUGUUGAGUUGUUGGACGAAGUAUACAGGGGUAGAGUGCUUUGUGUGCAUGUGGUUUGUAAAUGAGUGUAGAUGAAGUAUGUGAAGCUGUGUUGAUGGUACCGAGGGUCUGGAUGAUGAGCAUGGGCAUUAGCUGACAUUAGGUGAGGUACUUGGGGGAGGGGAGGAAGUCUGUCUGGGGCUCUGAUGGUCGUUGACAUUUCCCGUGCGGUCCUGUCGCCAGCAUAGCAAAUCUGCUCCUGCUCAUCGUAAUGACGGCCUGCCAGCCAGCCAGACGGGGGCUAGUGCCUGUCUGUCAAUCACAGGUCUCCACGGUGAUCCAUGGACAGUCCACCAUGGCAGUUAUCAUACUGGACACCCUGGGGAGGGAGGGGGGAUAAGGAGAGGGGGAAAGAGAGAGAGAGAGACGAUGGACUUAGUGAGACAGACAUCUAAAGGUCAGCAGUCAGUCAGUUCAGACACCACAACAAUAUUUAUCUCUUCUGAUCACACAGAUAUGGAGCUUUCUUGGAAACUGGCAGACUAGGGGGAAAGAACAGGUAGGUCCUAGACCACAUCCACAUGGAGUCUGGUCUCCAACCAUACAGUAUGAUCUUUAUUUUUCUUAUCCAUGAUUGACCAGGUAGAGUUAUUAUUUACAGUAAUUGUACCACAGGAGGCUGGUGAGGGGAGGACAUGGUAACCAUGUGUUUGAUAUCAUUCCAUUGUUUAUAUUCCAGCAAUUACUAUGAGCCUGUCCUCCAGCCACCUGUGAAUUGUACCUACCAUGCUUAAAACUAACAUGCACACACACACACACACACACCCACACACACACACACACACACACACACACACACACACACACACACACACACACACACACACACACACACACACACACACACACACACACACACACACACACACACGAUGUAAAUGUAGGCCAAAAGGUGAAUUUCCUUAAAACCAGUAAGGUUAUCAGCACACUUAUAAAUGAAUCAAAUUAAUCCCAUUUCACCUAGCUCUGCUAAAUUGUCUGAUAGCUUAUAACAAUCUAAUGGCCUUGAAAACAAUUAGAGUAGCGUUAUCAUAAUCAUUAAAGGCAAUUUACACCUCCUCCACUGAGGGAUUGGUGUGAAGUGCACAUCCCUUACAGGCUAUAAUCUGACCCCAUCUAAAUGACCACGGUUGUUGAUCACUUGACCUCACAAAGGUCAGAGGUCAGGGAGUUCAAACAGCUAUCAGCGUGGUGCAGGGCUGCAGCAUCAGGAAAUAAAAACAAUGUUUCUUAGCCCGACUCGUUGAGCUCCCAUUAACCCCUUCCACGCCACUUUGGAAAUAAUCACCUGGCACUGAGCUAUCAGAAAUCCUUUACAGCCUGGUGUGUGUUUGUGUGUGUGUGACUGUAAGAUAGAGAAUUGUGAGAGUACACUUUAGUGUGUGUGUGUGUGUGUGUGUGUGU